GCAAGUCGAACGAAGUAGCAAUACUUAGUGGCAGACGGGUGAGUAACAUGUAGGUAUCUACCCUUUGGCCUGGAAUAACACGAGGAAACUUGUGCUAAUACCGGAUAAGUCUUUACGGAGAAAGCUUUAUGCACCAUUGGAUGAGCCUGCACUUGAUUAGUUUGUUGGUGGGGUAAUGGCCUACCAAGACUGUGAUCAAUAGCUGAUUUGAGAGGAUGAUCAGCCACAUUGGGACUGAGACACGGCCCAAACUCCUACGGGAGGCAGCAGUGGGGAAUCUUGCACAAUGGAGGAAACUCUGAUGCAGCGAUGCCGCGUGAGUGAAGAAGGCCUUUGGGUUGUAAAGCUCUUUCGUCGGGGAAGAAAAUGACUGUACCCGAAUAAGAAGGUCCGGCUAACUUCGUGCCAGCAGCCGCGGUAAUACGAAGGGACCUAGCGUAGUUCGGAAUUACUGGGCUUAAAGAGUUCGUAGGUGGUUGAAAAAGUUAGUGGUGAAAUCCCAGAGCUUAACUCUGGAACUGCCAUUAAAACUUUUCAGCUAGAGUAUGAUAGAGGAAAGCAGAAUUUCUAGUGUAGAGGUGAAAUUCGUAGAUAUUAGAAAGAAUACCAAUUGCGAAGGCAGCUUUCUGGAUCAUUACUGACACUGAGGAACGAAAGCAUGGGUAGCGAAGAGGAUUAGAUACCCUCGUAGUCCAUGCCGUAAACGAUGUGUGUUAGACGUUGGAAAUUUAUUUUCAGUGUCGCAGCGAAAGCGAUAAACACACCGCCUGGGGAGUACGACCGCAAGGUUAAAACUCAAAUGAAUUGACGGGGACCCGCACAAGUAGUGGAGCAUGUGGUUUAAUUCGAAGAUACGCGCAGAACCUUACCAACACUUGACAUGUUCGUCGCGACUCUAAGAGAUUAGAGUUUUCGGUUCGGCCGGACGAAACACAGGUGCUGCAUGGCUGUCGUCAGCUCGUGUCGUGAGAUGUUGGG
Molecule: ribosomal RNA, 978 nt
Filed under: uncultured marine bacterium
Lineage: Bacteria
Description: bacterial SSU rRNA
Rfam family: Bacterial small subunit ribosomal RNA
Source: RNAcentral